RNAcentral lists this ribosomal RNA (539 nucleotides) under Coriollianassa coriolisae. RNAcentral's name for it is "partial large subunit ribosomal RNA". It matches the Rfam family "Bacterial large subunit ribosomal RNA", at positions 1830 to 2625 of the family's 2925-position model. The record is from RNAcentral. Lineage: Eukaryota; Metazoa; Arthropoda; Malacostraca; Decapoda; Callianassidae.
GUCUGUUUGAUUUAAUUAACAGUCUGACCUGCCCAUUGAAUUUUUUAAAAGGCCGCGGUAUACUGACCGUGCGAAGGUAGCAUAAUAAUUAGUCUUUUAAUUGAAGACUGGAAUGAAAGGUUGGACAAAAAGUAACCUGUUUCAAUACUAAAAAUUGAAAUUAACUUUUAAGUGAAAAGGCUUAAAUAAUCUUAAAAGACGACAAGACCCCGUAAAACUUUAUAUAGAUAGAUAUAAUUUUCAAAUUUUAAGUAUAACUAAAAUUAUCUUUUUCUAUAUUUCGUUGGGGCGACGAAAGUAUAUUAUAUAACUGCUUUAUUUUUAACACAAUUAUAUUUGUUUAUUUUGACCCUUAUUUUAAGAUCUAAAGAAAAAGUUACUUUGGGGAUAACAGCGUAAUUUUUUUUAAGAGUUCUUAUCGACAAAAAAGUUUGCGACCUCGAUGUUGAAUUAAAGUAUCAUUAUAGUGCAGCAAUUAUAAUAAGUAGGUCUGUUCGACCUUUAAAACUUUACAUGAUUUGAGUUCAAACCGGCGUGAG